RNAcentral lists this ribosomal RNA (676 nucleotides) under uncultured beta proteobacterium. RNAcentral's name for it is "bacterial SSU rRNA". It matches the Rfam family "Bacterial small subunit ribosomal RNA", at positions 50 to 723 of the family's 1533-position model. The record is from RNAcentral. Lineage: Bacteria; Pseudomonadati; Pseudomonadota; Betaproteobacteria.
UACACAUGCAAGUCGAACGGUAACAGGUCUUCGGAUGCUGACGAGUGGCGAACGGGUGAGUAAUACAUCGGAACGUGCCUAGUAGUGGGGGAUAACUACUCGAAAGAGUAGCUAAUACCGCAUGAGAUCUACGGAUGAAAGCAGGGGACCUUCGGGCCUUGUGCUACUAGAGCGGCUGAUGGCAGAUUAGGUAGUUGGUGGGGUAAAAGCUUACCAAGCCUGCGAUCUGUAGCUGGUCUGAGAGGACGACCAGCCACACUGGGACUGAGACACGGCCCAGACUCCUACGGGAGGCAGCAGUGGGGAAUUUUGGACAAUGGGCGAAAGCCUGAUCCAGCAAUGCCGCGUGCAGGAUGAAGGCCCUCGGGUUGUAAACUGCUUUUGUACGGAACGAAAAGCCUGGGGCUAAUAUCCCCGGGUCAUGACGGUACCGUAAGAAUAAGCACCGGCUAACUACGUGCCAGCAGCCGCGGUAAUACGUAGGGUGCAAGCGUUAAUCGGAAUUACUGGGCGUAAAGCGUGCGCAGGCGGUUUUGUAAGACAGUGGUGAAAUCCCCGGGCUCAACCUGGGAACUGCCAUUGUGACUGCAAGGCUAGAGUGCGGCAGAGGGGGAUGGAAUUCCGCGUGUAGCAGUGAAAUGCGUAGAUAUGCGGAGGAACACCGAUGGCGAAGGCA